GGGUUGUGAGGUUAAGCGACUAAGCGUACACGGUGGAUGCCCUGGCAGUCAGAGGCGAUGAAGGACGUGCUAAUCUGCGAUAAGCGUCGGUAAGGUGAUAUGAACCGUUAUAACCGGCGAUUUCCGAAUGGGGAAACCCAGUGUGAUUCGUCACACUAUCAUUAACUGAAUCCAUAGGUUAAUGAGGCGAACCGGGGGAACUGAAACAUCUAAGUACCCCGAGGAAAAGAAAUCAACCGAGAUUCCCCCAGUAGCGGCGAGCGAACGGGGAGCAGCCCAGAGCCUGAAUCAGUGUGUGUGUUAGUGGAAGCGUCUGGAAAGGCGCGCGAUACAGGGUGACAGCCCCGUACACAAAAAUGCACAUACUGUGAGCUCGAUGAGUAGGGCGGGACACGUGGUAUCCUGUCUGAAUAUGGGGGGACCAUCCUCCAAGGCUAAAUACUCCUGACUGACCGAUAGUGAACCAGUACCGUGAGGGAAAGGCGAAAAGAACCCCGGCGAGGGGAGUGAAAAAGAACCUGAAACCGUGUACGUACAAGCAGUGGGAGCACAGAGCAAUCUGUGUGACUGCGUACCUUUUGUAUAAUGGGUCAGCGACUUAUAUUCUGUAGCAAGGUUAACCGAAUAGGGGAGCCGAAGGGAAACCGAGUCUUAACUGGGCGUUAAGUUGCAGGGUAUAGACCCGAAACCCGGUGAUCUAGCCAUGGGCAGGUUGAAGGUUGGGUAACACUAACUGGAGGACCGAACCGACUAAUGUUGAAAAAUUAGCGGAUGACUUGUGGCUGGGGGUGAAAGGCCAAUCAAACCGGGAGAUAGCUGGUUCUCCCCGAAAGCUAUUUAGGUAGCGCCUCGUGAAUUCAUCUCCGGGGGUAGAGCACUGUUUCGGCAAGGGGGUCAUCCCGACUUACCAACCCGAUGCAAACUGCGAAUACCGGAGAAUGUUAUCACGGGAGACACACGGCGGGUGCUAACGUCCGUCGUGAAGAGGGAAACAACCCAGACCGCCAGCUAAGGUCCCAAAGUCAUGGUUAAGUGGGAAACGAUGUGGGAAGGCCCAGACAGCCAGGAUGUUGGCUUAGAAGCAGCCAUCAUUUAAAGAAAGCGUAAUAGCUCACUGGUCGAGUCGGCCUGCGCGGAAGAUGUAACGGGGCUAAACCAUGCACCGAAGCUGCGGCAGCGACGCUGAUGCGUUGUUGGGUAGGGGAGCGUUCUGUAAGCCUGUGAAGGUGUACUGUGAGGUAUGCUGGAGGUAUCAGAAGUGCGAAUGCUGACAUAAGUAACGAUAAAGCGGGUGAAAAGCCCGCUCGCCGGAAGACCAAGGGUUCCUGUCCAACGUUAAUCGGGGCAGGGUGAGUCGACCCCUAAGGCGAGGCCGAAAGGCGUAGUCGAUGGGAAACAGGUUAAUAUUCCUGUACUUGGUGUUACUGCGAAGGGGGGACGGAGAAGGCUAUGUUGGCCGGGCGACGGUUGUCCCGGUUUAAGCGUGUAGGCUGGUUUUCCAGGCAAAUCCGGAAAAUCAAGGCUGAGGCGUGAUGACGAGGCACUACGGUGCUGAAGCAACAAAUGCCCUGCUUCCAGGAAAAGCCUCUAAGCAUCAGGUAACAUCAAAUCGUACCCCAAACCGACACAGGUGGUCAGGUAGAGAAUACCAAGGCGCUUGAGAGAACUCGGGUGAAGGAACUAGGCAAAAUGGUGCCGUAACUUCGGGAGAAGGCACGCUGAUAUGUAGGUGAAGUCCCUCGCGGAUGGAGCUGAAAUCAGUCGAAGAUACCAGCUGGCUGCAACUGUUUAUUAAAAACACAGCACUGUGCAAACACGAAAGUGGACGUAUACGGUGUGACGCCUGCCCGGUGCCGGAAGGUUAAUUGAUGGGGUUAGCGCAAGCGAAGCUCUUGAUCGAAGCCCCGGUAAACGGCGGCCGUAACUAUAACGGUCCUAAGGUAGCGAAAUUCCUUGUCGGGUAAGUUCCGACCUGCACGAAUGGCGUAAUGAUGGCCAGGCUGUCUCCACCCGAGACUCAGUGAAAUUGAACUCGCUGUGAAGAUGCAGUGUACCCGCGGCAAGACGGAAAGACCCCGUGAACCUUUACUAUAGCUUGACACUGAACAUUGAGCCUUGAUGUGUAGGAUAGGUGGGAGGCUUUGAAGUGUGGACGCCAGUCUGCAUGGAGCCGACCUUGAAAUACCACCCUUUAAUGUUUGAUGUUCUAACGUUGACCCGUAAUCCGGGUUGCGGACAGUGUCUGGUGGGUAGUUUGACUGGGGCGGUCUCCUCCUAAAGAGUAACGGAGGAGCACGAAGGUUGGCUAAUCCUGGUCGGACAUCAGGAGGUUAGUGCAAUGGCAUAAGCCAGCUUGACUGCGAGCGUGACGGCGCGAGCAGGUGCGAAAGCAGGUCAUAGUGAUCCGGUGGUUCUGAAUGGAAGGGCCAUCGCUCAACGGAUAAAAGGUACUCCGGGGAUAACAGGCUGAUACCGCCCAAGAGUUCAUAUCGACGGCGGUGUUUGGCACCUCGAUGUCGGCUCAUCACAUCCUGGGGCUGAAGUAGGUCCCAAGGGUAUGGCUGUUCGCCAUUUAAAGUGGUACGCGAGCUGGGUUUAGAACGUCGUGAGACAGUUCGGUCCCUAUCUGCCGUGGGCGCUGGAGAACUGAGGGGGGCUGCUCCUAGUACGAGAGGACCGGAGUGGACGCAUCACUGGUGUUCGGGUUGUCAUGCCAAUGGCACUGCCCGGUAGCUAAAUGCGGAAGAGAUAAGUGCUGAAAGCAUCUAAGCACGAAACUUGCCCCGAGAUGAGUUCUCCCUGACUCCUUGAGAGUCCUGAAGGAACGUUGAAGACGACGACGUUGAUAGGCCGGAUGUGUAAGCGCAGCGAUGCGUUGAGCUAACCGGUACUAAUGAACCGUGAGGCUUAACCUUACAACGCCGAAGGUGUUU
This 2933-nucleotide ribosomal RNA is filed under the name Escherichia coli. RNAcentral's name for it is "bacterial LSU rRNA". It matches the Rfam family "Bacterial large subunit ribosomal RNA". The record is from RNAcentral. Lineage: Bacteria; Pseudomonadati; Pseudomonadota; Gammaproteobacteria; Enterobacterales; Enterobacteriaceae.